RNAcentral lists this ribosomal RNA (253 nucleotides) under uncultured bacterium. Its description in RNAcentral is "partial 16S ribosomal RNA". It matches the Rfam family "Bacterial small subunit ribosomal RNA", at positions 524 to 776 of the family's 1533-position model. The record is from RNAcentral.
UACGUAGGGGGCAAGCGUUGUCCGGAUUUACUGGGCGUAAAGAGCGUGUAGGCGGCCACGCAGGUCCGUUGUGAAAACUGGAGGCUCAACCUCCAGCUGUCGACGGAAACCGUGUGGCUAGAGUCCGGAAGAGGAGAGUGGAAUUCCUGGUGUAGCGGUGAAAUGCGCAGAUAUCAGGAAGAACACCAAUGGCGAAGGCAGCUCUCUGGGACGGUACUGACGCUGAGACGCGAAAGCUAGGGGAGCGAACGGG